GGCUCAGUUGGGUUUGCACCAGCUCCGCAGAGACCAUGACUUCCGGGUGGCCGAGAAGGCCGCGACUUCCGGUAGACACGAGAGCUAGAUUCCGCACGUGUCUGGCAACCUCUUCCGGCAGCUGGACCGCCACUUCCGGCCGAUGAAAGAUGCGGGGUCCACUGCGUCUGUAGCCGCAAUCCUGUAGACUAUGCAGCCUGCGGGAGUCCGGAAUAACUCGCUGGCGUCUGUGCAGUGAGCUCUCAAGAGCCUCGUGGCGGCAGCGGAGGGCACAGGACUGACUGCUCGGCCUGCAGCAGCUCCAUAGCCGAUAGCCGCGCAGGGCUUGUCAUCCAGAGAGGAGGGGAAAGGAAGCAAAUGGAGAAGUUCCAAGACUUUCCUGGCUAUGUCUCCAGUGACCUGGCUGAGCAAAUACCUGGAAACUCUGAGGAGUCAGCUGCCAUAAAACCUGCAUCAGCCAUGCCAGUUAGCCAAGUCUGGAAGACCACCCGUGAAUCCCAGAGGCCUGCUCUACCUGGUGUGCCCAUCCCUGACAGGGCUGACAGAACAAGUCCUUCGACUCAGGCCUGAAGAUGAAUUAUUUCUUGGGUCCAUAGCUCUUUGCUGACUGCUGAGCCCAAAACAAAGGGGCAACAUCUAGGCCAGCAAAUGGUUUCCAAUUUCUCUGUGUGACCAGCUUUUAAAACGUUCCCAUUUGCAUCGCUCCAGACCCUUCUCUCUGUGUCCCCAUGACCCUCUCACUAGUUCUGAAUGGUGAUGGAUUGCUUGAGUUACUGUGCUCCUUUCAUUCUCCUGGGAUCCAGAAAGGACAUGAUUGUGCUACUGGUCUCACAGCCCAGAGACUGCAGAAGCAGAGAAGAAACCAGCAUCUCCCCGCCUCUGUUUUCUCUCACACUGGCUGGGACCCCACUGGCUGCUGCCAACCACUUGCUGAGUCCCUGGAGGCAGU
Molecule: long non-coding RNA, 949 nt
Organism: Erinaceus europaeus (western European hedgehog)
Lineage: Eukaryota; Metazoa; Chordata; Mammalia; Eulipotyphla; Erinaceidae
Exons: 3
Source: RefSeq, a predicted model, not a curated record